CGAUCAGUAGCUCAGUGGCGAGAGCGGCCGGUCCACACCCGGCAGACCGCAGGUUCGAGUCCUGCCUGAUCGA
RNAcentral lists this transfer RNA (73 nucleotides) under Actinomycetota bacterium. RNAcentral describes it as "Actinobacteria bacterium tRNA-Val". It matches the Rfam family "tRNA". From Rfam's summary of the family: Transfer RNA (tRNA) molecules are approximately 80 nucleotides in length. Their secondary structure includes four short double-helical elements and three loops (D, anti-codon, and T loops). Lineage: Bacteria; Bacillati; Actinomycetota. The record is from RNAcentral.